This 253-nucleotide ribosomal RNA is filed under the name uncultured bacterium. RNAcentral describes it as "partial 16S ribosomal RNA". It matches the Rfam family "Bacterial small subunit ribosomal RNA", at positions 524 to 776 of the family's 1533-position model. The record is from RNAcentral.
UACGGGGGGGGCAAGCGUUGUUCGGAAUUACUGGGCGUAAAGGGCUCGUAGGCGGCCAACUAAGUCGGACGUGAAAUCCCCAGGCUCAACCUGGGAACUGCGUCUGAUACUGGAUGGCUUGAAUCCGGGAGAGGGAUGCAGAAUUCCAGGUGUAGCGGUGAAAUGCGUAGAUAUCGGAAGGAACAUCAGUGGCGAAAGCGGCUUCCUGGACCAGCACCGACGUUCAGGCACGAAAGCGUGGGGAGCAAACAGG